GCGCGUGUGGCGGAAUUGGCAGACGCACUAGACUUAGGAUCUAGCGUCUUCGGAUGUGGGGGUUCAAGUCCCUCCACGCGCACCA
Molecule: transfer RNA, 85 nt
Filed under: Paenibacillus woosongensis
Lineage: Bacteria; Bacillati; Bacillota; Bacilli; Caryophanales; Paenibacillaceae
Also listed under: 4 other names
Description: tRNA-Leu
Rfam family: tRNA
About the family: Transfer RNA (tRNA) molecules are approximately 80 nucleotides in length. Their secondary structure includes four short double-helical elements and three loops (D, anti-codon, and T loops).
Source: RNAcentral